This is a long non-coding RNA of Syngnathus acus (greater pipefish), 1992 nucleotides long. RefSeq lists it as uncharacterized. The record is from RefSeq and is a predicted model, not a curated record. The transcript has 6 exons. Lineage: Eukaryota; Metazoa; Chordata; Actinopteri; Syngnathiformes; Syngnathidae.
UUUAGGUUUCGCUCAUGGCAAUUUACUGUAAAGCCGGCAUACCGCACACACACUGAGGGGGAUAGAAAACAGAGGCCUCGUAAAAAUCGCACAUCGUCUUUAAUAACGCGUUCAGCUCGAGCAGAAAUGUGACGUUAUCAAGGAAAUUGACGAGAAAAGGCACCGUAAAGGACACACUUCUGGGAAGGAGAGUCAAGCGGUGGCAAAAUGUAAUUCCACUUUAAUCUUCACCGGGAAUUGUCUAUUAUUCAUGAAAGCAAAAACACGGAGGAAUGAACUGGACGCUCAUGUUUGAGAGGGAAGAGGAAGAAAAAAAGUCUUACUUUUCUGUGUGCCAGCAACAAACUGAGUUAUAAACGCUGACAUCUGGGAUUAAUAACUAGCUGCCGCUGACUGAAGAGUUUCUUAACAAUGUUGUUUUUUUUUUCCCGCCUGCUGGAAGACGACUUCAUCAGUAACAGGAACAACUUCAAGGUUUCAUUCUCCGGGCAUUAAAUCUUUUGCCACUGGACUGAUAUGGUUUACUUUGAAGACUUCAUCCAAGUCAGCUCCAUCAGUUCAAGCUCAAGGCUACUUUGGAAAGCGUGGAGAAGCAGCUGGAGUCCAGUGGCUGUUAUCAGUCCCGCUGAGAGCGACUGAGAAGGGCACUCAGUGGACAGCCACUCGUGGGAGUCUAACAGACAUUGAUGGAACACAUGAGGCUUCCUACAGCACUGGCGGUCUUUUUCCUGCGUGGGGCAGCAGCGAUGCAGCCCUUGUACUAAAAAUGGAGCCCAGCCCUGUCGAAUGAAGCGUCUGACGUCCUCGUACCAAAUUCCGUCUGUCCCUUCAGUCCCCACCGCCUCCUGCCGUCCUCCCCUUCCAAUUUGGAUCAAGCCAGGCAGACAGCAGUAAUCAAGUGGAGCUGACUGGCAGAUGAGCGAACGUCCUGCUUGGAGCCAACGAGCCUCCGAUGUGUGGGCCAAAACGAAAGUGCUGUGAAGUGCCAUUUUUUAACAGUGCAGAAAAUAUGCAUAUACAUUAGUUGCAAUGUCUUUGUUGAUGUCUUAGUGUUUAAAUGGUUUAACACAGGCAUAUUAAGCAAUUUCUUCUUCACUGUUUAAAACACCACAACAGGGGGAACUAGGAGGUUGCGAUGACACUAGUAGCUACUACUAGUCCAGAGUGUGAAAAAAAUAACAACUUUUGGUAACUGUGUUGUGCCAUGAGAUUUUCAAAUGUAAAAUAUGCGCCUUGGCUCAAUAAUAGUAGGGAACUCAUUAGGAGGAAUGAGCUAAAUUUGUGAGUGCUUGGCUUUCAGGCAGCAACAUAAGAUGUGCACUCUGAAACAAUAGCUUCCAGCAGCAGAAGCCUUGUCAAGAGAAAUCUGCAUUUCUUUGUACAACAAUGACCAUUUUCUUCUUCUCCUUGCCCCCCCCACCCAUCUAAAUGACAAUAGACAGAAUCAAUCUUAUUGUUUGACGUGCCCCAGUGUGCCGCAGAUGUCACCACAGACAAACAAAAAAACAACCCGAAAUACAAUAAGCGAUGUUCGUGAACCUAUCAAUCAGUUGUGAGUGCAUUUUAAAUUCCCUGAGACACUGGGGAAGAAAGCGUUAAUUUACUCGACGGUCCUUGUGGUCCCUCUCGCACGCUCAAUGCUAAUGAAGGUAAAAUAAUGCACGAGACAGGUGGCGGGGGAGCGUCCUGUGCUUGUCUCAUUAUACGGACAUUCACCGACAAGAAUACACAGAGGAAGAUUUUUCUCUGCGUAUCGUUCCCUAAUUCACAUGUCCUUGUAAUCCACCCCUGAAGAAAAAAGAAAGAGCUAAAAAGCAAGCUUGUAUAAACCACCAAUGUUUUAUGUGAUGUGUUGUAUUGUUAUUUUAUGUCACGUGUUCUGUAAAGUGCUUUGUUAUGGCAACAGCUGCUGUGAAAGUGCCAUCUACUGUAAAUAAAGAUCUAUUUUAUUGCAUUAUAUUAUAUAUAUGUAUAUAUGAAAAAGUAUCAGCA